Molecule: ribosomal RNA, 253 nt
Filed under: uncultured bacterium
Lineage: Bacteria
Description: partial 16S ribosomal RNA
Rfam family: Bacterial small subunit ribosomal RNA
Source: RNAcentral
UACGAAGGGUGCAAGCGUUACUCGGAAUUACUGGGCGUAAAGCGUGCGUAGGUGGUUCGUUAAGUCCGAUGUGAAAGCCCUGGGCUCAACCUGGGAAUGGCAUUGGAUACUGGCGAGCUAGAGUGCGGUAGAGGGGUGCGGAAUUCCCGGUGUAGCAGUGAAAUGCGUAGAUAUCGGGAGGAACAUCCGUGGCGAAGGCGGCACCCUGGACCAGCACUGACACUGAGGCACGAAAGCGUGGGGAGCAAACAGG